GUCGAGAAUCUUCCGCAAUGCGCGAAAGCGUGACGGAGCGACACCGCGUGAUGGAUGAAGUCCUUCGGGGCGUAAACAUCUUUUAUAAAGGAGGAAAUUUUUGACGUUACUUUAUGAAUAAGGGGCUCCCAAUCUCGUUCCAGCAGGAGCGGUAAUACGAGAGCCUCAAGCGUUAUCCGGAAUCAUUGGGCGUAAAGGGUGCGUAGGUGGUUUGAUUAGUCUCCCGUUAAAACUUCGAACUUAACUCGAAAAGAGCGGGGGAAACGGUCAAACUAGAGUAUGUGAGAGGUGUGUGGAACUCAUGGUGUAGGGGUGAAAUCCGUUGAUAUCAUGGGGAACACCAAAAGCGAAGGCAGCACACUGGCACAUCACUGACACUGAGGCACGAAACCUAAGGUAGCGAAUGGGAUUAGAAACCCGGGUAGUCC
This 428-nucleotide ribosomal RNA is filed under the name uncultured bacterium. RNAcentral describes it as "partial 16S ribosomal RNA". It matches the Rfam family "Bacterial small subunit ribosomal RNA", at positions 354 to 796 of the family's 1533-position model. The record is from RNAcentral.